Molecule: ribosomal RNA, 1528 nt
Filed under: Escherichia coli
Lineage: Bacteria; Pseudomonadati; Pseudomonadota; Gammaproteobacteria; Enterobacterales; Enterobacteriaceae
Description: bacterial SSU rRNA
Rfam family: Bacterial small subunit ribosomal RNA
Source: RNAcentral
UUGAAGAGUUUGAUCAUGGCUCAGAUUGAACGCUGGCGGCAGGCCUAACACAUGCAAGUCGAACGGUAACAGGAAGCAGCUUGCUGCUUUGCUGACGAGUGGCGGACGGGUGAGUAAUGUCUGGGAAACUGCCCGAUGGAGGGGGAUAACUACUGGAAACGGUAGCUAAUACCGCAUAACGUCGCAAGACCAAAGAGGGGGACCUUAGGGCCUCUUGCCAUCGGAUGUGCCCAGAUGGGAUUAGCUAGUAGGUGGGGUAAUGGCUCACCUAGGCGACGAUCCCUAGCUGGUCUGAGAGGAUGACCAGCCACACUGGAACUGAGACACGGUCCAGACUCCUACGGGAGGCAGCAGUGGGGAAUAUUGCACAAUGGGCGCAAGCCUGAUGCAGCCAUGCCGCGUGUAUGAAGAAGGCCUUCGGGUUGUAAAGUACUUUCAGCGGGGAGGAAGGGAGUUAAUACCUUUGCUCAUUGACGUUACCCGCAGAAGAAGCACCGGCUAACUCCGUGCCAGCAGCCGCGGUAAUACGGAGGGUGCAAGCGUUAAUCGGAAUUACUGGGCGUAAAGCGCACGCAGGCGGUUUGUUAAGUCAGAUGUGAAAUCCCCGGGCUCAACCUGGGAACUGCAUCUGAUACUGGCAAGCUUGAGUCUCGUAGAGGGGUAGAAUUCGUGUAGCGGUGAAAUGCGUAGAGAUCUGGAGGAAUACCGGUGGCGAAGGCGGCCCCCUGGACGAAGACUGACGCUCAGGUGCGAAAGCGUGGGGAGCAAACAGGAUUAGAUACCCUGGUAGUCCACGCCGUAAACGAUGUCGACUUGGAGGUUGUGCCCUUGAGGCGUGGCUUCCGGAGCUAACGCGUUAAGUCGACCGCCUGGGGAGUACGGCCGCAAGGUUAAAACUCAAAUGAAUUGACGGGGGCCCGCACAAGCGGUGGAGCAUGUGGUUUAAUUCGAUGCAACGCGAAGAACCUUACCUGGUCUUGACAUCCACGGAAGUUUUCAGAGAUGAGAAUGUGCCUUCGGGAACCGUGAGACAGGUGCUGCAUGGCUGUCGUCAGCUCGUGUUGUGAAAUGUUGGGUUAAGUCCCGCAACGAGCGCAACCCUUAUCCUUUGUUGCCAGCGGUCCGGCCGGGAACUCAAAGGAGACUGCCAGUGAUAAACUGGAGGAAGGUGGGGAUGACGUCAAGUCAUCAUGGCCCUUACGACCAGGGCUACACACGUGCUACAAUGGCGCAUACAAAGAGAAGCGACCUCGCGAGAGCAAGCGGACCUCAUAAAGUGCGUCGUAGUCCGGAUUGGAGUCUGCAACUCGACUCCAUGAAGUCGGAAUCGCUAGUAAUCGUGGAUCAGAAUGCCACGGUGAAUACGUUCCCGGGCCUUGUACACACCGCCCGUCACACCAUGGGAGUGGGUUGCAAAAGAAGUAGGUAGCUUAACCUUCGGGAGGGCGCUUACCACUUUGUGAUUCAUGACUGGGGUGAAGUCGUAACAAGGUAACCGUAGGGGAACCUGCGGUUGGAUCACCUCCUU